UCCCUGGUGGCUCAGACGGUAAAAGCAUCUGCCUACAAUGCAGGAGACCCGUAUUCGAUUCCUGGUUUGGGAA
RNAcentral lists this transfer RNA (73 nucleotides) under Bos taurus (domestic cattle). It matches the Rfam family "tRNA". Rfam says of the family: Transfer RNA (tRNA) molecules are approximately 80 nucleotides in length. Their secondary structure includes four short double-helical elements and three loops (D, anti-codon, and T loops). Further hydrogen bonds mediate the characteristic L-shaped molecular structure. tRNAs have two regions of fundamental functional importance: the anti-codon, which is responsible for specific mRNA codon recognition, and the 3' end, to which the tRNAs corresponding amino acid is attached (by aminoacyl-tRNA synthetases). tRNAs cope with the degeneracy of the genetic code in two manners: having more than one tRNA (with a specific anti-codon) for a particular amino acid; and 'wobble' base-pairing, i.e. permitting non-standard base-pairing at the 3rd anti-codon position. Lineage: Eukaryota; Metazoa; Chordata; Mammalia; Artiodactyla; Bovidae. RNAcentral also lists the same sequence under 4 other names. The record is from Rfam by way of RNAcentral.